GACGAACGCUGGCGGCGUGCUUAACACAUGCAAGUCGAACGAAGAGCGAUGGACGCUUGCUUCUAUCAAUCUUAGUGGCGAACGGGUGAGUAACGCGUAAUCAACCUGCCCUUCAGAGGGGGACAACAGUUGGAAACGACUGCUAAUACCGCAUACGAUCUAAUCUCGGCAUCGAGGAUAGAUGAAAGGUGGCCUCUACAUGUAAGCUAUCACUGAAGGAGGGGAUUGCGUCUGAUUAGCUAGUUGGAGGGGUAACGGCCCGCCAAGGCGAUGAUCAGUAGCCGGUCUGAGAGGAUGAACGGCCACAUUGGGACUGAGACACGGCCCAGACUCCUACGGGAGGCAGCAGUGGGGAAUCUUCCGCAAUGGACGAAAGUCUGACGGAGCAACGCCGCGUGAGUGAUGACGGCCUUCGGGUUGUAAAGCUCUGUUAAUCGGGACGAAAGGCCUUCUUGCGAAUAGUGAGAAGGAUUGACGGUACCGGAAUAGAAAGCCACGGCUAACUACGUG
Molecule: ribosomal RNA, 510 nt
Filed under: uncultured bacterium
Lineage: Bacteria
Description: partial 16S ribosomal RNA
Rfam family: Bacterial small subunit ribosomal RNA
Source: RNAcentral